Molecule: ribosomal RNA, 498 nt
Filed under: uncultured bacterium
Lineage: Bacteria
Description: partial 16S ribosomal RNA
Rfam family: Bacterial small subunit ribosomal RNA
Source: RNAcentral
AUUGAACGCUGGCGGCAUGCUUUACACAUGCAAGUCGAACGGUAACGCGGGGCAACCUGGCGACGAGUGGCGAACGGGUGAGUAAUGCAUCGGAACGUGCCCGGUAGUGGGGGAUAACUGCUCGAAAGAGCAGCUAAUACCGCAUACGACCUGAGGGUGAAAGGGGGGGAUCGCAAGACCUCUCGCUAUUGGAGCGGCCGAUGUCGGAUUAGCUAGUUGGUGGGGUAAGGGCCCAACAAGGCGACGAUCCCUAGCUGGUCUGAGAGGACGACCAGCCACUCGGGGACUGAGACACGGCCCAGACUCCUACGGGAGGCAGCAGUGGGGAAUUUUGGACAAUGGACGCAAGUCUGACCCAGCCAUGCCGCGGGCGGGAAGAAGGCCUUCGGGUUGUAAACCGCUUUUGUCAGAGAAGAAAUCUUCUGGGUUAAUACCUCGGGAGAAUGACGGUAUCUGAAGAAUAAGCACCGGCUAACUACGUGCCAGCCGCCGCCGUAA